RNAcentral lists this ribosomal RNA (253 nucleotides) under uncultured bacterium. RNAcentral describes it as "partial 16S ribosomal RNA". It matches the Rfam family "Bacterial small subunit ribosomal RNA", at positions 524 to 776 of the family's 1533-position model. The record is from RNAcentral.
UACGUAGGGACCAAGCGUUGUUCGGAUUUACUGGGCGUAAAGGGCGCGUAGGCGGCGUGGUAAGUCACUUGUGAAAUCUCCGAGCUUAACUCGGAACGGUCAAGUGAUACUGCUGUGCUAGAGUGCAGAAAGGGCAAUCGGAAUUCUUGGUGUAGCGGUGAAAUGCGUAGAUAUCAAGAGGAACACCUGAGGCGAAGGCGGGUUGCUAGGCUGACACUGACGCUGAGGCGAGAAAGCUAGGGUAGCAAACGGG